Molecule: ribosomal RNA, 253 nt
Filed under: uncultured microorganism
Description: partial 16S ribosomal RNA
Rfam family: Bacterial small subunit ribosomal RNA
Source: RNAcentral
UACGUAGGGUGCGAGCGUUAAUCGGAUUUACUGGGCGUAAAGCGUGCGCAGGCGGCCCGUUAAGACAGGUGUGAAAUCCCUGGGCUCAACCUAGGAAUUGCGCUUGUGACUGGCGGGCUCGAGUACGGUAGAGGGGGGCGGAAUUCCUGGUGUAGCAGUGAAAUGCGUAGAGAUCAGGAGGAACACCGAUGGCGAAGGCAGCCCCCUGGGCCUGUACUGACGCUGAGGUGCGAAAGCGUGGGGAGCAAACAGG